Molecule: ribosomal RNA, 265 nt
Filed under: uncultured bacterium
Lineage: Bacteria
Description: partial 16S ribosomal RNA
Rfam family: Bacterial small subunit ribosomal RNA
Source: RNAcentral
CAUUCGAGUGGCGACGGGUGAGUAACGCGUGGGUAACCUGCCUUACACAGGGGGAUAACACCUGGAAACAGGUGCUAAUACCGCAUAAGCGCACAGGGCCGCAUGGCCCGGUGUGAAAAACUCCGGUGGUGUAAGAUAGACCCGCGUCUGAUUAGCUUGUUGGCGGGGUAGGGGCCCACCAAGGCGACGAUCAGUAGCCGGCCUGAGAGGGUGGACGGCCACAUUGGGACUGAGACACGGCCCAAACUCCUACGGGAGGCAGCAG